UACGUAGGGUGCAAGCGUUUGUCCGGAAUUAUUGGGCGUAAAGAGCUCGUAGGCGGUCUGUUACGUCUGCUGUGAAAACCCAGGGCUUAACCCUGGGCUUGCAGUGGAUACGGGCAGACUAGAGGCAGGUAGGGGAGAAUGGAAUUCCCGGUGUAGCGGUGAAAUGCGCAGAUAUCGGGAGGAACACCGGUGGCGAAGGCGGUUCUCUGGGCCUGACCUGACGCUGAGGAGCGAAAGCGUGGGGAGCGAACAGG
Molecule: ribosomal RNA, 254 nt
Filed under: uncultured bacterium
Lineage: Bacteria
Description: partial 16S ribosomal RNA
Rfam family: Bacterial small subunit ribosomal RNA
Source: RNAcentral